UACGGAGGAUGCAAGCGUUAUCCGGAAUGAUUGGGCGUAAAGCGUCCGCAGGUGGCUAUGUAAGUCUGCUGUUAAAGAGUGAGGCUCAACCUCAUAAGAGCAGUGGAAACUACAUGGCUAGAGUGCGUUCGGGGCAGAGGGAAUUCCUGGUGUAGCGGUGAAAUGCGUAGAGAUCAGGAAGAACACCGGUGGCGAAAGCGCUCUGCUAGGCCGCAACUGACACUGAGGGACGAAAGCUAGGGGAGCGAAUGGGAUUAGAAACCCUUGUAGUCC
Molecule: ribosomal RNA, 273 nt
Filed under: uncultured bacterium
Lineage: Bacteria
Description: partial 16S ribosomal RNA
Rfam family: Bacterial small subunit ribosomal RNA
Source: RNAcentral